GAGAAGAGAGCAAGGUGUAGCCAAGGACAAACUUGCCGGAUCAACAGACAGACUGCCAGUCUCCGGCCAAUUAAUUAACCUCGCCGUCGCCGGCGGCCAUCGCCGGCCGGCAAGUCAUCCUUGGCUGCAUCCUGCUCUCUGCC
Non-coding RNA from Oryza glaberrima (African rice), 143 nucleotides. NCBI's taxonomy places the organism in Eukaryota, Viridiplantae, Streptophyta, Magnoliopsida, Poales, Poaceae. The record is from Rfam.